UUUUUUUUGAUUUGCACCGGGUGUCCGAGUCUCUUUGAGCCCCGACUAAUCCCGGGGGUGCACAGGCCCUCGGCAAGGAGUUUCCCGCAAGUGCACCACGGUUAAUUCAGGUUUUACCCAGUCCGAUGGCCCUCAGAAAUUGCUGCACCAGUGGGUUCGAACUUGAGACCUUGAAAGGGAGCAAACCCCAAGGCUCAAGUCAAUUGCCAGCAGGCCAACCCCUGAGGGUUUUAUGAAUAUAUCUUUUUUUUUGAUUUGCACCGGGUGUCCCAGUCUCUUUGAGCCCCGACUAAUCCCGGGGGUGCACAGGCCCUCGGCAAGGAGUUUCCCGCAAGUGCACCACGGUUAAUUCAGGUUUUACCCAGUCCGAUGGCCCUCAGAAAUUGCUUGCACCCAGUGGGUUUCGAACUUGAGACCUUGAAAGGGAGCAAACCCCAAGGCUCAAGUCAAUUGCCAGCAGGCCAACCCCUGAGGGUU
This 477-nucleotide long non-coding RNA is filed under the name Solanum tuberosum (potato). RNAcentral describes it as "long non-coding RNA (STUB_LNC007703)". Lineage: Eukaryota; Viridiplantae; Streptophyta; Magnoliopsida; Solanales; Solanaceae. The record is from RNAcentral.